GGGGCUGGAGCAAUCCGGCAACCGGCGAACGGGUGCGUAACACGUGAACAACCUGCCCUCGUGUGGGGGAUAGCCAUGCUAACGCGUGGGUAAUACCGCAUACGUUCUUUUCGGGGAGUCCCGGGGAGAGGAAAGCCGAGGCAACUUGGCGCACGGGGAGGGGUUCGCGGCCUAUCAGCUGGUUGGUGCGGUCACGGAGCACCAAGGCGACGACGGGUAGCUGGUCUGAGAGGAUGGCCACCCACAUUGGGACUGAGAGACGGCCCAUACUCCUACGGGAGGCAGCAGUGGGGAAUCUUGCGCAAUGGCCUAACGGCUGACGCAGCGACGCCGCGUGUGGGACGACGCCUUUCGGGGUGUAAACCACUGUUGCCCGGGACGAACUUCUGGUUUCGACCACACUGACGGUACCGGGUGAGGAAGCACCGGCUAACUCCGUGCCAGCAGCCGCGGUAAUACGGAGGGUGCGAGCGUUGUCCGGAAUCAUUGGGCGUACAGGGCGCGUAGGUGGACCGGUGAGUCUUUGGUGAAAGCGCGGGGCUCAACCCUGCGUCGGCCAGGGAUACUGCCGCGGCUCGA
RNAcentral lists this ribosomal RNA (579 nucleotides) under uncultured bacterium. RNAcentral's name for it is "bacterial SSU rRNA". It matches the Rfam family "Bacterial small subunit ribosomal RNA", at positions 66 to 645 of the family's 1533-position model. The record is from RNAcentral.